Molecule: ribosomal RNA, 270 nt
Filed under: uncultured prokaryote
Description: partial 16S ribosomal RNA
Rfam family: Archaeal small subunit ribosomal RNA
Source: RNAcentral
UACUAGCGGUCCAAGUCGCAGCCAUUUUUAUUGGGUCUAAAACAUCCGUAGCUUGUUUGAUAAGUUUUUUGUGAAAUCCCAUGUCUCAAGCAUGGGGCGCGCAGAAAAUACUAUCAGGCUAGAGACUGGAAGACGUGAUGAGUACAAUCGAGGUAGCGGUAAAAUGUUUUAAUCUUGGUUGGACUAACAAGAGCGAAGGCACAUCACGAGGACAGUUCUGACAGUAAGGGAUGAAGGCCAGGGGCGCAAAACGGAUUAGAUACCCGCGUA